UCUUCUUCUUCUUCUUCUUCUGCUCUUUUACAUCUUGGAUAGCACAUUCUUUACCAUGCUAAAGACUUUUCAUUUCAAAUCCCUAACCCUUGUCUCUAAACAAUCUCUUCUCUUAAACCCGAUUGGGGGAACUAUUAUCGCUUACCCUCAAUGCACCGUUUUCUCAUCACAAUGUCCUUUUUUUCAAUUUUCACCCUUACUUUUGCAUCAAACCCAAAUCCGAAAACCAAUUGUUUGUGCAAGAAAGAAAAGAAGGAGAUCAGGGUCUCAAAAAUUAAUGAAAAUUGUGCCCAAAUUAGUAUCCUUUGUGGCAUCAAAUCCCAAGAUCUUACCAGGACCUUUAGAUUUGGUUGUUGCGGAACUUGGUGGUGGAGGUGGAGGAGGUUUAGGGUUUUGGAAGGUUUUUGGGGAUGGAAGUUCUGAUGGGUGGAGGAGAAAAGGGAAGACAAGUUUAGGACUUUUUGGAGUUUUGACAGUUUGUGGAUUGGGGUUAUUGUUUGGAAGAGAGCUAAAGAGUGAUUUAUUGUGUGGGGUUUUUGCAUUGGGUUUUCUUGUGACUCUUUUGAUUAGAGGAUACAGGAGACGAAUUAAAGAUUGGGUUUUGGGGCUCUGCUUUGUUGGCGUUUUGUUAGGUUUGAGGUUGAGGAGAGAGGAUACCCAACACUGGGUUCAGAGGCUUAGGGUUUGCCCAACAGUCUCAGGAGGACUUCUGAAGGGAAAGAGAAGAAAUCGCGGACGAGUCAUGUAAGAAAAAGGUAAAAAGCAAAGAUUUUUUUUACAGUUCUGUAUUCAUUAUUUAUUUUUAUCAGAGUAUUCAUUAUUUAUUAUGAUGUUCUAUAUUAUAGAUUUGAUUUGAGUUUGUUUAAUUCAUUUGAUAAUAAAUUUAAGAAGAAUAAUAGAUAAAACUGAAGAUCAAUGUUGUCACUAAGCUACCAGAAAUGUGGUACACCUUGAAUAUAGAGCGAAAAUGAAAGCGUAUAUCUACAUCAUAGAAAUCCUAUUCUAGAUUUAUUUCAAAAUAACUUAAUAAAAUUUAAUGUAACCUCAAAAUUUGAACAUUAAAAAGAACAAAAUUUUCACAGAUGGAAUACAAAAAAGAGUUCACAACUCAAAGGGAACAGGGGAAACAAGGCAAAUGCCACAAAAUGAAAGUUAUUAAUUAAACAAUUACUUCUACAACAGAACCUUGUACAACAAUUACACGGGCAAAGCUCUGGCCAUGAUCCUAUAAUCUCCCUUUUUCUUCAAGGCUCUCCUUAUUCUGAGGUAUCCCU
RNAcentral lists this unclassified non-coding RNA (1274 nucleotides) under Hevea brasiliensis (rubber tree). Lineage: Eukaryota; Viridiplantae; Streptophyta; Magnoliopsida; Malpighiales; Euphorbiaceae. The record is from RNAcentral.